GACGAACGCUGGCGGCGUGCUUAACACAUGCAAGUCGAACGGAAAGGCCCUGCUUUUGUGGGGUGCUCGAAUGGCGAACGGGUGAGUAACAAGUGAGUAACCUGCCCUUGACUUUGGGAUAACUUCAGGAAACUGGGGCUAAUACCGGAUAGGAGCUCCUGCUGCAUGGUGGGGGUUGGAAAGUUUCGGCGGUUGGGGAUGGACUCGCGGCUUAUCAGCUUGUUGGUGGGGUAGUGGAUUACCAAGGCUUUGACGGGUAGCCGGCCUGAGAGGGUGACCGGCCACAUUGGGACGGAGAUACGGCCCAGACUCCUACGGGAGGCAGCAGUGGGGAAUAUUGCACAAUGGGCGGAAGCCUGAUGCAGCAACGCCGCGUGCGGGAUGACGGCCUUCGGGUUGUAAACCGCUUUCGCCUGUGACGAAGCGUGAGUGACGGUAAUGGGUAAAGAAGCACCGGCUAACUACGUG
RNAcentral lists this ribosomal RNA (468 nucleotides) under uncultured bacterium. RNAcentral describes it as "partial 16S ribosomal RNA". It matches the Rfam family "Bacterial small subunit ribosomal RNA", at positions 28 to 507 of the family's 1533-position model. The record is from RNAcentral.